ACGUAGGAUGCGAGCGUUGUCCGGAAUUAUUGGGCGUAAAGAGUUCGUAGGUGGCAUAUCAAGUCUGGUGUUAAAGACCGGGGCUCAACUCCGGAAGGGCACUGGAUACUGAUAAGCUAGAGUAUAGUAGAGGCAAAGGGAAUUCCUAGUGUAGCGGUGAAAUGCGUAGAUAUUAGGAGGAACACCAGUGGCGAAAGCGCUUUGCUGGGCUAUUACUGACACUGAGGAACGAAAGCCAGGGUAGCGAAUGG
This 251-nucleotide ribosomal RNA is filed under the name uncultured prokaryote. Its description in RNAcentral is "partial 16S ribosomal RNA". It matches the Rfam family "Bacterial small subunit ribosomal RNA", at positions 525 to 775 of the family's 1533-position model. The record is from RNAcentral.